GACGAACGCUGGCGGCGUGCCUAAUACAUGCAAGUCGAACGGAAAGGCCCUGCUUUUGUGGGGUGCUCGAGUGGCGAACGGGUGAGUAACACGUGAGUAACCUGCCCUUGACUUUGGGAUAACUUCAGGAAACUGGGGCUAAUACCGGAUAGGAGCUCCUGCUGCAUGGUGGGGGUUGGAAAGUUUCGGCGGUUGGGGCUGGACUCGCGGCUUAUCAGCUUGUUAGUGGGGUAGUGGCUUACCAAGGCUUUGACGGGUAGCCGGCCUGAGAGGGUGACCGGCCACAUUGGGACUGAGAUACGGCCCAGACUCCUACGGGAGGCAGCAGUCGGGAAUAUUGCACAAUGGGCGGAAGCCUGAUGCAGCAACGCCGCGUGCGGGAUGACGGCCUUCGGGUUGUAAACCGCUUUCGCCUGUGACGAAGCGUGAGUGACGGUAAUGGGUAAAGAAGCACCGGCUAACUACGUG
Molecule: ribosomal RNA, 468 nt
Filed under: uncultured bacterium
Lineage: Bacteria
Description: partial 16S ribosomal RNA
Rfam family: Bacterial small subunit ribosomal RNA
Source: RNAcentral